RNAcentral lists this long non-coding RNA (2446 nucleotides) under Marmota monax (woodchuck). The record is from RNAcentral. Lineage: Eukaryota; Metazoa; Chordata; Mammalia; Rodentia; Sciuridae.
CUCAGAGGCUGCUGCAGAUAGGGACAUGGUUCCUGGAGUCUUGGCUGCUUAUCAAGAUGGUGACAGUCCUUGGGGUCAGCAUGUCAUGCUGCUUCUAAAGGAAUGCAGGAUGCUGAAGUUCAGGGUUUGGGGAGGCUUCCACUGAUAUUUAGAAGUAUGUCUGCCCUCCUUUGGGGGCUGGUGCUGUGGUGCUGCACCUGCAGGACCUGGUGAGCAUCCUGCUCAGGAAAGUGGGCAGCAGCUCCAGGACACACACAGGGCAUGUGCAGGUGACAUCCAUACAAUCAACACAAAGUGAAAACACACAGAGUCUGUCCAUGGACUGGGAGAUGAGAGGGGAGUCUGAGGCCCUUCAUGCAGUUGGAGGAGGUGAUGGUGCCUCUUCCCAGGAACAUAGUUCUCUGGGAGCAGUUAUCAUGUUAUGCAUGUGAGAUACUGAGCUUGUGACUUCUAAAGUUCCUUGGCCAGGACAGCUGGCAUUUUCUUGCAUUUUCACUGAUGAAAAAACCAUAGCAAAGUGACUUGAAUGGAUUCUGGAGGUUUUACAAGACAACUCCCUCGGUGGUUGACUAUUAAAGAAAGCCAUGUCCAGGUGUGUUGAGCUAGAACUGUAUUCACACUCUUUCCCAUUCAGGGUCAGACACCAGGAGGCAGGAUUGUGACAGGAUUUUUUCUUUUGAAAGGUAGGACAGAUCACUCAGAUGUCAGCUCCAUGGAAUGGUCCUGGAAAAGCUGCCCUUCCACAAAUUCCCACCUCUUGGGAACCUUGGGCUCUCUAUCUGUGGAGAAGCAGGAAUGGCAGAGAGAGCCUCCUUGUGCUGCACACAAAGCAAAAAAGCCGCGGUUGCAUCCACAUCCCAGGUUCAGAAUGUGGGAGAUCCUCCCUCUUACCCUGGCUUAAAAGUGAACAGGACCUGGGAGCAAUUUCUGGAACCAUUUGACAGUGUCAGUGCUUGGAAAGAUCUAACUACUUACUGUUGAAGUCAAAAUGAGAAGGAUAUAAAUAUCUGGGAAUCAAACUACACUGAGGGAUUCACCUUUAACUGCCUCUGCUUGGGAUCUUAUGGCUCUUCUGGAGACUCCAUCCUCAUCUGAUAAAUAGGGAAAUAACAACAAGUGUCCCCAUCCUCUCUAAUCACUCACAUUUCUUCCAGGGAAGCAAAGAGGGCCUAGGAGACCAUGAAUCUUUCACACCUGAAUGAACCUUGGUUUCCACUCACACAACCUUUCCAGGUGCAGUGGGAAGAGAAAAGUGCAAAGGAUCUGACUGGGUGCCUUGAGGGAACCUGCUGUACCCCAGGGGGAGGGUGGCAGAGGCAACUGUGAGGUUUCUGAUGGGGAUGGAACCACUGUGGUAACCUGCAUGGCCUUGCAGACAGUCACACACUGCUGCCUCCACAGGCUCCUGGCUGUGAUGGGAGGGUGAAGUCUGUCCCUGACCCACUGCCACUGAACUGGGCUGGGAUGCCACUGGCCCUGCUGGAUGCAUCAUACAUGAGGCAUCUUGGAGCCUGCCCAGUCCUCUGCUGGUUGCAGGAAAGGAGCUGUCAACACUCUGAAUGGCCCUGCAGGUGAGGGUGGCUUUUUCCCCUGAGACAAAGCCAUGAGUGUGGAGUCUGUGUCAGCACAAUUUCUCCUGUGAUCCCUGAGAUGGAAAGAGAACAGAAAGGUCACCUAUGCAGUCUAGGUCAUACCCCAGUCUCCUCAGUAGAACCAGGAUCCUGCAGCACCCAGAGCUUGAAUCACUGGGCUUGCUAAACAGAGGUGCCAGGACACAGGACCCAACCACAAUGAAAGAGUUUUCACAGGUGUGUAGAACCAUCCCAUGAUACCUCACCUGGGACCCAGAGUAACAGGAGGCAGAGGAGCUGACUGGGGGCUGCCAUGGCUCCCUCUGGGUCCCACCUGAGUCAGAACUUCCCAGAACCCUGCUCACUAUGUCCCAGCAACAUGAGGUCAUCCACGUUUCUGAGCUUUACUAAAUGAGCAACUUUAGCCACCAGGGAAAACUUGUAAGGGACACUAUAUGUAUAUCUAUUGAAAGGAAAGGGGAAUGUAUCUGCGAAAAUGUUUUUUCUAAUUUGAAAAGUGACAGAUGGCAGAGAUGACAACAUCAUGAAGUGACCUGGUUCAACUCUGCUGGGGUGGGAGAGGCUUCAAUAUCAGCUGUGCCUUCAAAGCUCAGAAACAGAGUAUGGUAUAACAAAGUGUCUCUGUUCAGACAGAUACAGGGACCAGCUACAGGGCCCAGUCAUGGAGCACACUCUACCUGCCACAGACCUCUGGCUGAACUUGUAGUCUUCUGGAAUCCAUAGCAGCUCAUGCCUCAGACAAGAUAACUCUUUUGCUCUAGGUCACAGCCUGAAGUAACUGUGGUCAUGUGGACACCAGGCAGCACUGCCCCAUGUGACUCUGCAUGGAUGGCCUCAUGUUGCUUGGACAGGAU